RNAcentral lists this ribosomal RNA (458 nucleotides) under uncultured bacterium. Its description in RNAcentral is "bacterial SSU rRNA". It matches the Rfam family "Bacterial small subunit ribosomal RNA", at positions 29 to 487 of the family's 1533-position model. The record is from RNAcentral.
AUUGAACGCUGGCGGCAUGCUUUACACAUGCAAGUCGAGCGGCAGCGCGGGGGCAACCCUGGCGGCGAGCGGCGAACGGGUGAGGAAUACAUCGGAACGUACCCGAGAGUGGGGGAUAACGCCGCGAAAGCGGCGCUAAUACCGCAUAUUCUCCGAGGAGGAAAGUGGGGGACCGCAAGGCCUCACGCUCACGGAGCGGCCGAUGUCGGAUUAGCUAGUUGGUGGGGUAAAGGCCCACCAAGGCGACGAUCCGUAGCUGGUCUGAGAGGAUGAUCAGCCACACUGGGACUGAGACACGGCCCAGACUCCUACGGGAGGCAGCAGUGGGGAAUUUUGGACAAUGGGGGCAACCCUGAUCCAGCCAUGCCGCGUGCGGGAAGAAGGCCUCGGGUUGUAACCGCUUUAGUCGGAGAAAGAUCACGGAUAACAACCUGUGGUUCUUGACGGUACCGGCGGAA